RNAcentral lists this ribosomal RNA (115 nucleotides) under Salvia splendens (bonfire salvia). Lineage: Eukaryota; Viridiplantae; Streptophyta; Magnoliopsida; Lamiales; Lamiaceae. The record is from RNAcentral.
GCGAUCAUACCAGCACUAAUGCACCGGAUCCCAUCCGAACUCCGAAGUUAAGCGUGCUUGUCCGACAGUAGUACUAGGAUGAGUGACCCCCUAGGAAGUCCUCGUGUUGCACCCC